RNAcentral lists this transfer RNA (71 nucleotides) under Loxodonta africana (African savanna elephant). It matches the Rfam family "tRNA". Rfam says of the family: Transfer RNA (tRNA) molecules are approximately 80 nucleotides in length. Their secondary structure includes four short double-helical elements and three loops (D, anti-codon, and T loops). Lineage: Eukaryota; Metazoa; Chordata; Mammalia; Proboscidea; Elephantidae. The record is from Rfam by way of RNAcentral.
GCAAUGAUGGUUCAAUGGUAGAAUUCUUGCCUUCUACACAGGAGAACCUGGUUUGAUUCCCAGCCAAUGCA